Molecule: ribosomal RNA, 468 nt
Filed under: uncultured bacterium
Lineage: Bacteria
Description: partial 16S ribosomal RNA
Rfam family: Bacterial small subunit ribosomal RNA
Source: RNAcentral
GACGAACGCUGGCGGCGUGCUUAACACAUGCAAGUCGAACGGAAAGGCCCUGCUUUUGUGGGGUGCUCGAGUGGCGAACGGGUGAGUAACACGUGAGUAACCUGCCCUUGACUUUGGGAUAACUUCAGGAAACUGGGGCUAAUACCGGAUAUGAGCUCCUGCUGCAUGGUGUGGGUUGGAAAGUUUCGGCGGUUGGGGAUGUACUCGCGGCUUAUCAGCUGGUUGGUGGGGUAGUGGCUUACCAAGGCUUUGACGGGUGGCCGGCCUGAGAGGGUGACCGGCCACAUUGGGACUGAGAUACGGCCCAGAAUCCUACGGGAGGCAGCAGUCGGGAAUAUUGCACAAUGGGCGGAAGCCUGAUGCAGCAACGCCGCGUGCGGGAUGACGGCCUUCGGGUUGUAAACCGCUUUCGCCUGUGACGAAGCGUGAGUGACGGUAAUGGGUAAAGAAGCACCGGCUAACUACGUG